GGGGAAUAUUGCGUAAUGGGGGAAACCCUGACGCAGCAACGCCGCGUGAGUGAGGAAGGACUUCGGUCUGUAAAGCUCUGUUAAUGUGGAAAAAUGGUAGUUGGUCUAAUAGGCCGAUUAUUUGAUGGUACACAUAGAGGAAGCACCGGCUAACUUCGUGCCAGCAGCUGCGGUAAUACGAAGGGUGCAAGCGUUGUUCGGAUUUAUUGGGCGUAAAGCGCGCGUAGGCGGACCUGCAAGUCAGAUGUGAAAUCUCGGGGCUCAACCUCGAAACUGCGUCUGAAACUACAGGUCUAGAAUCUUGGAGGGGGAAGGGGAAUUUCGCAUGUAGGGGUAAAAUCCGUAGAUAUGCGAAGGAACACCAGAGGCGAAGGCGCCUUCCUGGACAAGUAUUGACGCUGAGGCGCGAAAGCGUGGGGAUCAAAC
Molecule: ribosomal RNA, 426 nt
Filed under: uncultured bacterium
Lineage: Bacteria
Description: bacterial SSU rRNA
Rfam family: Bacterial small subunit ribosomal RNA
Source: RNAcentral